This 433-nucleotide ribosomal RNA is filed under the name uncultured bacterium. Its description in RNAcentral is "partial 16S ribosomal RNA". It matches the Rfam family "Bacterial small subunit ribosomal RNA", at positions 29 to 507 of the family's 1533-position model. The record is from RNAcentral.
AGCGAACGCUGGCGGCAGGCUUAACACAUGCAAGUCGAGCGGGCACUUCGGUGUCAGCGGCAGACGGGUGAGUAACACGUGGGAACGUACCCUUCGGUUCGGAAUAACGCUGGGAAACUAGCGCUAAUACCGGAUACGCCCUUUUGGGGAAAGGUUUACUGCCGAAGGAUCGGCCCGCGUCUGAUUAGCUAGUUGGUGGGGUAAUGGCCUACCAAGGCGACGAUCAGUAGCUGGUCUGAGAGGAUGAUCAGCCACACUGGGACUGAGACACGGCCCAGACUCCUACGGGAGGCAGCAGUGGGGAAUAUUGGACAAUGGGCGCAAGCCUGAUCGAGCCAUGCCGCGUGAGUGAUGAAGGCCUUAGGGUUGUAAAGCUCUUUUGUCCGGGACGAUAAUGACGGUACCGGAAGAAUAAGCCCCGGCUAACUUCGUG